This 1309-nucleotide ribosomal RNA is filed under the name Bacillus stratosphericus. RNAcentral describes it as "bacterial SSU rRNA". It matches the Rfam family "Bacterial small subunit ribosomal RNA", at positions 79 to 1375 of the family's 1533-position model. Lineage: Bacteria; Bacillati; Bacillota; Bacilli; Caryophanales; Bacillaceae. The record is from RNAcentral.
UUGCUCCCGGAUGUUAGCGGCGGACGGGUGAGUAACACGUGGGUAACCUGCCUGUAAGACUGGGAUAACUCCGGGAAACCGGAGCUAAUACCGGAUAGUUCCUUGAACCGCAUGGUUCAAGGAUGAAAGACGGUUUCGGCUGUCACUUACAGAUGGACCCGCGGCGCAUUAGCUAGUUGGUGAGGUAACGGCUCACCAAGGCGACGAUGCGUAGCCGACCUGAGAGGGUGAUCGGCCACACUGGGACUGAGACACGGCCCAGACUCCUACGGGAGGCAGCAGUAGGGAAUCUUCCGCAAUGGACGAAAGUCUGACGGAGCAACGCCGCGUGAGUGAUGAAGGUUUUCGGAUCGUAAAGCUCUGUUGUUAGGGAAGAACAAGUGCAAGAGUAACUGCUUGCACCUUGACGGUACCUAACCAGAAAGCCACGGCUAACUACGUGCCAGCAGCCGCGGUAAUACGUAGGUGGCAAGCGUUGUCCGGAAUUAUUGGGCGUAAAGGGCUCGCAGGCGGUUUCUUAAGUCUGAUGUGAAAGCCCCCGGCUCAACCGGGGAGGGUCAUUGGAAACUGGGAAACUUGAGUGCAGAAGAGGAGAGUGGAAUUCCACGUGUAGCGGUGAAAUGCGUAGAGAUGUGGAGGAACACCAGUGGCGAAGGCGACUCUCUGGUCUGUAACUGACGCUGAGGAGCGAAAGCGUGGGGAGCGAACAGGAUUAGAUACCCUGGUAGUCCACGCCGUAAACGAUGAGUGCUAAGUGUUAGGGGGUUUCCGCCCCUUAGUGCUGCAGCUAACGCAUUAAGCACUCCGCCUGGGGAGUACGGUCGCAAGACUGAAACUCAAAGGAAUUGACGGGGGCCCGCACAAGCGGUGGAGCAUGUGGUUUAAUUCGAAGCAACGCGAAGAACCUUACCAGGUCUUGACAUCCUCUGACAACCCUAGAGAUAGGGCUUUCCCUUCGGGGACAGAGUGACAGGUGGUGCAUGGUUGUCGUCAGCUCGUGUCGUGAGAUGUUGGGUUAAGUCCCGCAACGAGCGCAACCCUUGAUCUUAGUUGCCAGCAUUCAGUUGGGCACUCUAAGGUGACUGCCGGUGACAAACCGGAGGAAGGUGGGGAUGACGUCAAAUCAUCAUGCCCCUUAUGACCUGGGCUACACACGUGCUACAAUGGACAGAACAAAGGGCUGCGAGACCGCAAGGUUUAGCCAAUCCCACAAAUCUGUUCUCAGUUCGGAUCGCAGUCUGCAACUCGACUGCGUGAAGCUGGAAUCGCUAGUAAUCGCGGAUCAGCAUGCCGCGGUGAAUACGUUCCC